Molecule: ribosomal RNA, 301 nt
Filed under: uncultured bacterium
Lineage: Bacteria
Description: partial 16S ribosomal RNA
Rfam family: Bacterial small subunit ribosomal RNA
Source: RNAcentral
CAGUCGCCGCGGUAAUACGUAGGGUGCGAGCGUUAAUCGGAAUUACUGGGCGUAAAGCGUGCGCAGGCGGUUGUGUAAGACAGGUGUGAAAUCCCCGGGCUUAACCUGGGAACUGCGCUUGUGACUGCACAGCUAGAGUAUGGCAGAGGGGGGUGGAAUUCCACGUGUAGCAGUGAAAUGCGUAGAGAUGAGGAGGAACACCGAUGGCGAAGGCAGCCCCCUGGGCCAAUACUGACGCUCAUGCACGAAAGCGUGGGGAGCAAACAGGAUUAGAUACCCCCGUAGUCCCUGUCUCUUAUAC